ACGGAAGGCAGCAGUGGGGAAUAUUGCACAAUGGGGGAAACCCUGAUGCAGCGACGCCGCGUGAGUGAAGAAGUUAUUCGUAAUGUAAAGCUCUAUCAGCAGGGAAGAAAAUGACGGUACUUGACUAAGAAGCCCCGGCUAACUACGUGCCAGCAGCCGCGGUAAUACGUAGGGGGCAAGCGUUAUCCGGAUUUACUGGGUGUAAAGGGAGCGUAGACGGUUAUGUAAGUCUGAAGUGAAAUCCCCCGGCUCAACUGGGGAACUGCUUUGGAAACUAUGUAACUAGAGUGCAGGAGAGGUAAGUGGAAUUCCUAGUGUAGCGGUGAAAUGCGUAGAUAUUAGGAGGAACACCAGUGGCGAAGGCGGCUUACUGGACUGUAACUGACGUUGAGGCUCGAAAGCGUGGGGAGCAAACAGGAUUAGAUACCCUGGUA
Molecule: ribosomal RNA, 434 nt
Filed under: uncultured Lachnospiraceae bacterium
Lineage: Bacteria; Bacillati; Bacillota; Clostridia; Lachnospirales; Lachnospiraceae
Description: bacterial SSU rRNA
Rfam family: Bacterial small subunit ribosomal RNA
Source: RNAcentral